RNAcentral lists this ribosomal RNA (402 nucleotides) under uncultured Pansomonadidae. RNAcentral describes it as "partial small subunit ribosomal RNA". It matches the Rfam family "Eukaryotic small subunit ribosomal RNA", at positions 30 to 432 of the family's 1831-position model. Lineage: Eukaryota; Cercozoa; Glissomonadida; Pansomonadidae. The record is from RNAcentral.
GCUUGUCUCAAAGAUUAAGCCAUGCAUGUCUAAGUAUAAACAACUUUAUACCGUGAAACUGCGAACGGCUCAUUAUAUCAGUAAUUAUUUAUUUGAUGGUAACUUACUACAUGGAUAACCGUAGUAAUUCUAGAGCUAAUACAUGCAUAAAGUCCCAACUUUCGGGGAGGGAUGUAUUUAUUAGAUACAAAAUCAAUCCUGGCAACAGGCUCUUUGGUGAUUCAUAAUAACUGUUCGAAGCGCAUACCUUUUGGUGGCGCUAGUUCAUUCAAAUUUCUGCCCUAUCAGCUUUCGACGGUAGUGUAGUGGACUACCGUGGCUUUGACGGGUGACGAGGAAUUAGGGUUUGAUUUCGGAGAGGGAGCCUGAGAAAUGGCUACCACAUCCAAGGAAGGCAGCAGG